GACGAACGCUGGCGGCGUGCCUAAUACAUGCAAGUAGAACGCUGAAGGAGGAGCUUGCUUCUCUGGAUGAGUUGCGAACGGGUGAGUAACGCGUAGGUAACCUGCCUGGUAGCGGGGGAUAACUAUUGGAAACGAUAGCUAAUACCGCAUAAGAGUAGAUGUUGCAUGACAUUUGCUUAAAAGGUGCAAUUGUAUCACUACCAGAUGGACCUGCGUUGUAUUAGCUAGUUGGUGGGGUAACGGCUCACCAAGGCGACGAUACAUAGCCGACCUGAGAGGGGGAUCGGCCACACUGGGACUGAGACACGGCCCAGACUCCUACGGGAGGCAGCAGUAGGGAAUCUUCGGCAAUGGACGGAAGUCUGACCGAGCAACGCCGCGUGAGUGAAGAAGGUUUUCGGAUCGUAAAGCUCUGUUGUAAGAGAAGAACGAGUGUGAGAGUGGAAAGUUCACACUGUGACGGUAUCUUACCAGAAAGGGACGGCUAACUACGUG
RNAcentral lists this ribosomal RNA (495 nucleotides) under uncultured bacterium. RNAcentral describes it as "partial 16S ribosomal RNA". It matches the Rfam family "Bacterial small subunit ribosomal RNA", at positions 28 to 507 of the family's 1533-position model. The record is from RNAcentral.